CCUACGGGAGGCAGCAGUGAGGAAUAUUGGUCAAUGGACGAGAGUCUGAACCAGCCAAGUAGCGUGAAGGAUGACUGCCCUAUGGGUUGUAAACUUCUUUUAUCUGGGAAUAAAAUGUUCCACGUGUGGGUUUUUGUAUGUACUAUAUGAAUAAGGAUCGGCUAACUCCGUGCCAGCAGCCGCGGUAAUACGGAGGAUCCGAGCGUUAUCCGGAUUUAUUGGGUUUAAAGGGUGCGUAGGUGGAUUGUUAAGUCAGUUGUGAAAGGUUGCGGCUCAACCGUAAAAUUGCAGUUGAAACUGGCAGUCUUGAGUACAGUAGAGGUAGGCGGAAUGCGUGGUGUAGCGGUGAAAUGCUUAGAUAUCGCGAAGAACUCCGAUUGCGAAGGCAGCUCACUGGACUGCAACUGACACUGAGGCUCGAAAGUGUGGGUAUCAAACAGGAUUAGAUACCCUAGUAGUC
This 460-nucleotide ribosomal RNA is filed under the name uncultured bacterium. RNAcentral describes it as "partial 16S ribosomal RNA". It matches the Rfam family "Bacterial small subunit ribosomal RNA", at positions 338 to 795 of the family's 1533-position model. The record is from RNAcentral.